AUUAUUGGACUUGGAUAUUUUAAAUAAUGUCCGACCGAACUUUCGGUUUCGGUUUCGGUUUCGGCCGAGUUUCGGCCAAAAAUCAAGUUUCGGCUGCAGUUUCGUUUUCGGCCAAAAUCGGCCGAAACUUUUGCCGAAACCGAAACUUAUCUCGCAAGGUCACGCACGUUCGCUUAACUUCGUUUUCCGCGGCAAAGCUGUGUCGUAAGCCGUCGGCUCUGUUCGGGAAUCAUCGUGUGCCGUUCGGAUAGCUCCGUAGUGAUGCAAUAAAACUUAGUCAGUGCGUGUGCGUGCAACGGAAACAUUAUUUGGAGGUUAUGUUUUGAUGGAACUGAUAACAUAGUAAAAUGUCACAACGAGAAAAAAAUCCGAUUUGGCAGUACUUUGAUAAAAGUAUCAGUAUACAUCAAAAGCUGUUUGCAAGAUAUGUAACAAGUGCUAUUCAUUAGGAAGCCACGAAGCAAAAAAACAAACAUCACAUGGACUGUAGUUGCAUUUAUCAAAAUUUCAUGACCAGGAAUACAGGCAAGUACAAAAACGUGUCUCAGAAUUGAAUGAUUUCAAAAGUGAAGCAAAAUUGAAGCAAACAGACUCGAGUGCAUCGUUGAAAAAAUCGAGCGCAGAUCAGUCAACUCUUGUUCAGACAACUAUCUUAAGUUUGACUUCUAAACCUAAAGUUGCACUAUGGCCUGAUGAUCAUGAAAUUACAAAAAGGAUUGACAAAACUAUAACAAUUACUUAUUUGAUUAUAUUGUCAAUUGAAAAACAUUUUGCUAUGAGAACUUACUUUGAAAAGAUACGACGCCGACACAGCAUUGAACCACGACUUCUUCUGGACCGACCCCAUGCCGUGUGACCUUGCCAACAUGCUGGCCCAACACACACAGA
RNAcentral lists this unclassified non-coding RNA (888 nucleotides) under Helicoverpa zea (corn earworm). RNAcentral's name for it is "cyclin-dependent kinase 9, transcript variant X1". Lineage: Eukaryota; Metazoa; Arthropoda; Insecta; Lepidoptera; Noctuidae. The record is from RNAcentral.